GAGGGUAGAGCUCAGCGGUAGAGCGCGUGCUUAGCAUGCAUGAAGUCCUGAGUUCAAUCCCCAGUACCUCUG
RNAcentral lists this transfer RNA (72 nucleotides) under Camelus bactrianus (Bactrian camel). It matches the Rfam family "tRNA". Rfam says of the family: Transfer RNA (tRNA) molecules are approximately 80 nucleotides in length. Lineage: Eukaryota; Metazoa; Chordata; Mammalia; Artiodactyla; Camelidae. The record is from Rfam by way of RNAcentral. RNAcentral also lists the same sequence under 2 other names.